GUAGGUGAAGUGAUUUACUCAUGGAGCUGAAGUCAGUCGAAGAUACCAGCUGGCUGCAACUGUUUAUUAAAAACACAGCACUGUGCAAACACGAAAGUGGACGUAUACGGUGUGACGCCUGCCCGGUGCCGGAAGGUUAAUUGAUGGGGUCAGCGCAAGCGAAGCUCCUGAUCGAAGCCCCGGUAAACGGCGGCCGUAACUAUAACGGUCCUAAGGUAGCGAAAUUCCUUGUCGGGUAAGUUCCGACCUGCACGAAUGGCGUAAUGAUGGCCAGGCUGUCUCCACCCGAGACUCAGUGAAAUUGAACUCGCUGUGAAGAUGCAGUGUACCCGCGGCAAGACGGAAAGACCCCGUGAACCUUUACUAUAGCUUGACACUGAACAUUGAGCCUUGAUGUGUAGGAUAGGUGGGAGGCUUUGAAGUGUGGACGCCAGUCUGCAUGGAGCCGGCCUUGAAAUACCACCCUUUAAUGUUUGAUGUUCUAACGUGGACCCGUGAUCCGGGUUGCGGACAGUGUCUGGUGGGUAGUUUGACUGGGGCGGUCUCCUCCUAAAGAGUAACGGAGGAGCACGAAGGUUGGCUAAUCCUGGUCGGACAUCAGGAGGUUAGUGCAAUGGCAUAAGCCAGCUUGACUGCGAGCGUGACGGCGCGAGCAGGUGCGAAAGCAGGUCAUAGUGAUCCGGUGGUUCUGAAUGGAAGGGCCAUCGCUCAACGGAUAAAAGGUACUCCGGGGAUAACAGGCUGAUACCGCCCAAGAGUUCAUAUCGACGGCGGUGUUUGGCACCUCGAUGUCGGCUCAUCACAUCCUGGGGCUGAAGUAGGUCCCAAGGGUAUGGCUGUUCGCCAUUUAAAGUGGUACGCGAGCUGGGUUUAGAACGUCGUGAGACAGUUCGGUCCCUAUCUGCCGUGGGCGCUGGAGAACUGAGGGGGGCUGCUCCUAGUACGAGAGGACCGGAGUGGACGCAUCACUGGUGUUCGGGUUGUCAUGCCAAUGGCACUGCCCGGUAGCUAAAUGCGGAAGAGAUAAGUGCUGAAAGCAUCUAAGCACGAAACUUGCCCCGAGAUGAGUUCUCCCUGAGACUUUAGGUCUCCUGAAGGAACGUUGAAGACGACGACGUUGAUAGGCCGGGUGUGUAAGCGCAGCGAUGCGUUGAGCUAACCGGUACUAAUGAACCGUGAGGCUUAACCUU
This 1190-nucleotide ribosomal RNA is filed under the name Salmonella enterica. RNAcentral's name for it is "partial 23S ribosomal RNA". It matches the Rfam family "Bacterial large subunit ribosomal RNA", at positions 1742 to 2925 of the family's 2925-position model. RNAcentral also lists the same sequence under 1 other name. The record is from RNAcentral. Lineage: Bacteria; Pseudomonadati; Pseudomonadota; Gammaproteobacteria; Enterobacterales; Enterobacteriaceae.